GCUAAGAAUAUUCCGCAAUGGACGAAAGUCUGACGGAGCGACGCCGCGUGGAUGAAGAAGGCCGAAAGGUUGUAAAGUUCUUUUGUUGGGGAAGAAUAACCAUGGGAGGGAAUGCCCGUGGGAUGACAUGAACCGACGAAUAAGCCCCGGCUAACUACGUGCCAGCAGCCGCGGUAACACGUAGGGGGCGAGCGUUGUUCGGAAUUACUGGGCGUAAAGGGCAUGUAGGCGGUCUUGUAAGCUUGGCGUGAAAGACCACGGCUCAACCGUGGGAUUGCGUUGAGAACUGCGAGGCUUGAGUGACGGAGAGGGAGCUAGAAUUCCUGGUGUAGGGGUGGAAUCUGUAGAGAUCAGGAAGAAUACCAAUGGCGAAGGCAAGCUCCUGGCCGAUGACUGACGCUGAGGUGCGAAAGUGUGGGGAUCAAACAGGAUUAGAUACCCCAGUAGUCC
RNAcentral lists this ribosomal RNA (450 nucleotides) under uncultured bacterium. RNAcentral's name for it is "partial 16S ribosomal RNA". It matches the Rfam family "Bacterial small subunit ribosomal RNA", at positions 354 to 796 of the family's 1533-position model. The record is from RNAcentral.